UUUAAAUGACUUUUGAGAAAUGAUACCUUGAGAAAGAGAUUCCUAUAUCACACACAUACAUAUAUACAUCAACUUAAGCUGGAUCUUAGUUUUGCAAACCCGUAUUGAAGAACAGACCAUCAUCCUCCAUCUAGCAUACAUGCUCAUGGACUUCAACUUGUACAUCCUCAUGAGCCAUAUGUAAGCCUGAAUCGCUCUGUCAGGUAAUCCCCACUGCGUAUAGGAGGAAAUCUGCAUUCACAAACAAGUAUAGUUAUCCCUAAUCCUUGAUCAUAUACAACCAUUACAACUUCGAAGAAAAGACUUGAAAAAGCAUUGCUUGCAAUACAAGGAAAUACAAGCAGAACAAAAUAAAAAGCACAAAGAAAGGCUAUUAUGGAAGACAACUAGAAACAAGCUACAACUUUGAGAUUUUGUUUCAAUUUUCUUUGUAGGGAUAUGUUUCUAUUCUACAUGUUCAAAUAUUUUUCUGCCUGGGAGAAAUUUCAAAUCACGGAGUUAAGACAGGAAGGGGAAGAACAGACAGAAUUUGGGAGGUAAGCAGGCUUUGUUUGCACAAUUGCUACACUUCCAUAUACAAUCUCUCAUUUUAUGCCAACCAUAAUAUGUCCAUGGUCCCUUCCAAGAGAAAACAUAUAUAUCCAUGAUCCCAAGGUAUUCCAUCGAGUCACAUGAACAUCAGGUCAUCAAUUUGUCAAAAUUCACAACCAUAAGCUGGAGUUCACUAGGAACGACGAGUUCUUCAUAGUUUUCCUGCUGAAUAAAACAAAACCAACAAAUUGAAAGUUGACCAAAAAUAAACUAUUCGCAUGAGUUUACCUUGGGGGACAUGAUUCACUGCAACAACUUUCCAAGCAUUCCACUAAACAGUCUUCAUUAGGAUCUAAAAAAAAUGCCACCUGAAAUAUUGCAAUUUAAAAACUCGGUAGUAGA
This 933-nucleotide long non-coding RNA is filed under the name Carica papaya (papaya). RNAcentral describes it as "long non-coding RNA (CPAP_LNC013343)". The record is from RNAcentral. Lineage: Eukaryota; Viridiplantae; Streptophyta; Magnoliopsida; Brassicales; Caricaceae.